UACGUAGGGUGCGAGCGUUAAUCGGAAUUACUGGGCGUAAAGCGUGCGCAGGCGGUUUUGUAAGACAGGCGUGAAAUCCCCGGGCUCAACCUGGGAAUUGCGCUUGUGACUGCAAAGCUGGAGUGCGGCAGAGGGGGAUGGAAUUCCGCGUGUAGCAGUGAAAUGCGUAGAUAUGCGGAGGAACAUCGAUGGCGAAGGCAAUCCCCUGGGCCUGCACUGACGCUCAUGCACGAAAGCGUGGGGAGCAAACAGG
This 253-nucleotide ribosomal RNA is filed under the name uncultured bacterium. Its description in RNAcentral is "partial 16S ribosomal RNA". It matches the Rfam family "Bacterial small subunit ribosomal RNA", at positions 524 to 776 of the family's 1533-position model. The record is from RNAcentral.